GGAAGGUGAGAGGGAGGGGAGGAUAGAUAGGAGGGGGUGGGGUAAUGGAAGGGAUGAUGGAACCGACCAACCAACAUUAUUUCAUCAUUUGUUUCUAGGUGCGCUUGGAGUCAAACCCACGCAAGCCAGCCCGUACUUCACGCCGUGCGACACAGAACGACUCCAUUUCAAAUAGAACAAGAUCAAGUCAGAAAUGAUGUAACACGGUAAAAAUGUCCAAUUUAUUUUUUGAUAUUCGUUUACUACCGAAUGCCAAAAUUCUUUGGCAUUACAAGAGUGAAUCUAGCUGAUGGAUAAACGUAGGUCUUUCAAACAAAUCUUCAAUACCGCUGUAUUGUAGAUAUUUCAGAAAACAUGGGGAAUUAUUUUUGUGGUAUACAAUUGACAUUUGUUAAAACAGAUAAACGAAGAAAGAUUCGUAUAUACGAUUUAAAGGGAAAAAUAACAACAGGCGAUGAGAAUAUGAUUUAGAGGAAGUUCGUAACAGGGUAUCGAUAAUUUGCAUUGCCCCCCCCCCCGAAAAAGGCAGCGUCGACCAGUGAAUAAAGAUGUUUUCAUUAUUUACGGAGGAGUGGGAUAGUGUCUGA
This is a non-coding RNA of Paramuricea clavata, 587 nucleotides long. Lineage: Eukaryota; Metazoa; Cnidaria; Anthozoa; Malacalcyonacea; Plexauridae. The record is from the annotation of a GenBank genome assembly.